UUUAAAUAUAGCCAUGAGUUUCUGUGUCUAACUUUGAUCGUCCAUCUUAUUUUAAUUUUUUUAUGAUUAGUAUUUUUAUUGUUAUUAGAUGAUAAAACAUGAAUGGUACUUUAUAUGUGGUUUAUGUUUUUUAUUUUUUAAAAAACAAUAAAUAAAACGAACCAUUAAAGUUAGACACGAAAUCCUGUCUGCGCUUAAA
Oryza glumipatula is the source of this 199-nucleotide non-coding RNA. The record is from Rfam. Lineage: Eukaryota; Viridiplantae; Streptophyta; Magnoliopsida; Poales; Poaceae.